GUUCACUUGAACGAGCGGUCAAGCUCCCGGACGAGACGCGCCGUACCCGGAACGCCAAGACGACGCACU
Molecule: non-coding RNA, 69 nt
Filed under: Nonomuraea sp.
Lineage: Bacteria; Bacillati; Actinomycetota; Actinomycetes; Streptosporangiales; Streptosporangiaceae
Also listed under: 1 other name
Source: RNAcentral